GCCACAGUCAUAUCACCCUGUAGCCCAAGACUGGAUGCCUAUUGAAGCAGGGUUGAGCCUGGUCAGUACCUGGAUGGGAGACCUCCUGGGAAAACUAGGUUGCUGCUGGAA
Molecule: ribosomal RNA, 111 nt
Filed under: Sinocyclocheilus anshuiensis
Lineage: Eukaryota; Metazoa; Chordata; Actinopteri; Cypriniformes; Cyprinidae
Source: RNAcentral